CUGGCGGCGCUGGCUCUGCUAGACCCCCAAGUCGAGCGCACCUUCGGGUGAGCGGCGGACGGGUUAGUAACGCGUGGGAACGUACCCUUCUCUAAGGAAUAGUCUCGGGAAACUGGGGGUAAUACCUUAUACGCCCUUCGGGGGAAAGAUUUAUCGGAGAAGGAUCGGCCCGCGUUAGAUUAGAUAGUUGGUGGGGUAAUGUUUCUACCAAGUCUACGAUCUAUAGCUGGUUUUAGAGGAUGAUCAGCAACACUGGGACUGAGACACGGCCCAGACUCCUACGGGAGGCAGCAGUGGGGAAUCUUAGACAAUGGGCGCAAGCCUGAUCUAGCCAUGCCGCGUGAGUGAUGAAGGUCUUAGGAUCGUAAAGCUCUUUCGCUGGGGAAGAUAAUGACUGUACCCAGUAAAGAAACCCCGGCUAACUCCGUGCCAGCAGCCGCGGUAAUACGGAGGGGGUUAGCGUUGUUCGGAAUUCUGGGCGUAAAGCGUACGUAGGCGGAUUAGCAAGUAUGGGGUGAAAUCCCGGGGCUCAACCCCGGAACUGCUCAUAAACUGCUAGUCUAGAGUUCGAGUGAGGUGAGUGGAAUUCCGAGUGUAGAGGUGAAAUUCGUAGAUAUUCGGAGGAACCCAGUGGCGAAGGCGGUUACUGGCUCAUCUGACGCUGAGUCCAAAGUGUGGGAGCAACAGAUAGUCCCUGGAGUCCA
RNAcentral lists this ribosomal RNA (704 nucleotides) under uncultured Antarctic soil bacterium. Its description in RNAcentral is "bacterial SSU rRNA". It matches the Rfam family "Bacterial small subunit ribosomal RNA", at positions 36 to 797 of the family's 1533-position model. The record is from RNAcentral.